This 253-nucleotide ribosomal RNA is filed under the name uncultured bacterium. RNAcentral describes it as "partial 16S ribosomal RNA". It matches the Rfam family "Bacterial small subunit ribosomal RNA", at positions 524 to 776 of the family's 1533-position model. The record is from RNAcentral.
UACGGAGGAGGCAAGCGUUAUCCGGAAUGAUUGGGCGUAAAGCGUCCGCAGGUGGCAGUUCAAGUCUGCUGUCAAAGACCGGGGCUUAACUUCGGAAAGGCAGUGGAAACUGAACAGCUAGAGUAUGGUAGGGGCAGAGGGAAUUCCUGGUGUAGCGGUGAAAUGCGUAGAGAUCAGGAAGAACAUCGGUGGCGAAGGCGCUCUGCUGGACCAUAACUGACACUCAGGGACGAAAGCUAGGGGAGCGAAUGGG